Molecule: ribosomal RNA, 253 nt
Filed under: uncultured bacterium
Lineage: Bacteria
Description: partial 16S ribosomal RNA
Rfam family: Bacterial small subunit ribosomal RNA
Source: RNAcentral
UACGAAGGGGGCUAGCGUUGCUCGGAAUGACUGGGCGUAAAGGGCGCGUAGGCGGUCUUGCAAGUCCUGUGUGAAAUCCCUCGGCUCAACUGAGGAACUGCACAGGAAACUGCUUGGCUUGAGUUCGGGAGAGGGAAGCGGAAUUCCGGGUGUAGCGGUGAAAUGCGUAGAUAUCCGGAGGAACACCGGUGGCGAAGGCGGCUUCCUGGACCGACACUGACGCUGAGGCGCGAAAGCUAGGGGAGCAAACGGG